AGAACGAACGCUGGUGGCGUGGAUAAGACAUGCAAGUCGAACGGAGUAAUUCGAAUAGCAAUAUUUGGAUUACUUAGUGGCGGACGGGUGAGUAACACGUGGGCAACCUGCCCGGAAGAGGGGGAUAGCUCGCCGAAAGGCGAAUUAAUACCGCAUGUGGCCUGGAAAGACAUCUUUCCUCAGCCAAAGCUGGAGCAAUCUAGCACUUCUGGAUGGGCCCGCGGCCUAUCAGCUUGUUGGUGAGGUAAUGGCUCACCAAGGCUAUGACGGGUAGCUGGUCUGAGAGGACACAGUCACACUGGAACUGAGACGACGUCACGACGACCGUACGGUGGCAGCGAGUACGAGAAUCAGUACGACGAACGUA
Molecule: ribosomal RNA, 367 nt
Filed under: uncultured soil bacterium
Lineage: Bacteria
Description: bacterial SSU rRNA
Rfam family: Bacterial small subunit ribosomal RNA
Source: RNAcentral